Molecule: ribosomal RNA, 616 nt
Filed under: uncultured Legionella sp.
Lineage: Bacteria; Pseudomonadati; Pseudomonadota; Gammaproteobacteria; Legionellales; Legionellaceae
Description: bacterial SSU rRNA
Rfam family: Bacterial small subunit ribosomal RNA
Source: RNAcentral
UAGCUAGUUGGUGGGGUAAAGGCCUACCAAGGCGACGAUCGGUAGCUGGUCUGAGAGGAUGACCAGCCACACUGGAACUGAGACACGGUCCAGACUCCUACGGGAGGCAGCAGUGGGGAAUAUUGGACAAUGGGGGCAACCCUGAUCCAGCAAUGCCGCGUGUGUGAAGAAGGCCUGAGGGUUGUAAAGCACUUUCAGUGGGGAGGAGGAUUGUUUGUUUAAGAGAUGAGCAAUUGGACGUUACCCACAGAAGAAGCACCGGCUAACUCCGUGCCAGCAGCCGCGGUAAUACGGAGGGUGCAAGCGUUAAUCGGAAUUACUGGGCGUAAAGGGUGCGUAGGUGGUUAUGUAAGUUAUGUGUGAAAUCCCUGGGCUCAACCUGGGCAGGUCAUAUAAUACUGCAUGACUCGAGUGUGGGAUAGGGUAGUGGAAUUUCCGGUGUAGCGGUGAAAUGCGUAGAGAUCGGAAGGAACACCAGUGGCGAAGGCGGCUACCUGGCCUAACACUGACACUGAGGCACGAAAGCGUUGGGAGCAAACAGGAUUAGAUACCCUGGUAGUCCACGCUGUAAACGAUGUCAACUAGCUGUUGGUUAUAUAAAAAUAAUUAGUGGCGC